UGUGAAGUAGGUACGCUGUAAUCACUUAGCGCUGCGUAGAGACGCUCCUGUGAAGUAGGUACGCUGUAAUCACUUAGCGUUGCGUAGAGACGCUCCUGUGAAGUAGGUACGCUGUAAUCACUUAGCGUUGCGUAGAGACGCUCCUGUGAAGUAGGUACGCUGUAAUCACUUAGCGUUGCGUAGAGACGCUCCUGUGAAGUAGGUACGCUGUAAUCACUUAGCGUUGCGUAGAGACGCUCCUGUGAAGUAGGUACGCUGUAAUCACUUAGCGUUGCGUAGAGACGCUCCUGUGAAGUAGGUACGCUGUAAUCACUUAGCGUUGCGUAGAGACGCUCCUGUGAAGUAGGUACGCUGUAAUCACUUAGCGUUGCGUAGAGACGCUCCUGUGAAGUAGGUACGCUGUAAUCACUUAGCGCUGCGUAGAGACGCUCCUGUGAAGUAGGUACGCUGUAAUCACUUAGCGUUGCGUAGAGACGCUCCUGUGAAGUAGGUACGCUGUAAUCACUUAGCGUUGCGUAGAGACGCUCCUGUGAAGUAGGUACGCUGUAAUCACUUAGCGCUGCGUAGAGACGCUCCUGUGAAGUAGGUACGCUGUAAUCACUUAGCGUUGCGUAGAGACGCUCCUGUGAAGUAGGUACGCUGUAAUCACUUAGCGCUGCGUAGAGACGCUCCUGUGAAGUAGGUACGCUGUAAUCACUUAGCGUUGCGUAGAGACGCUCCUGUGAAGUAGGUACGCUGUAAUCACUUAGCGUUGCGUAGAGACGCUCCUGUGAAGUAGGUACGCUGUAAUCACUUAGCGCUGCGUAGAGA
This is a long non-coding RNA of Leptidea sinapis, 810 nucleotides long. RefSeq lists it as uncharacterized. The transcript has 6 exons. The record is from RefSeq and is a predicted model, not a curated record. Lineage: Eukaryota; Metazoa; Arthropoda; Insecta; Lepidoptera; Pieridae.